GACGAACCGAGCGAACGUUGUUCGGAAUCACUGGGCUUAAAGGGCGCGUAGGCGGGUGCUCAAGUCCGGGGUGAAAUCCUCCAGCUCAACUGGAGAACUGCCUCGGAUACUGGGCGUCUCGAGUGUGGUAGGGGUAUGCGGAACUAUCGGUGGAGCGGUGAAAUGCGUUGAUAUCGAUAGGAACUCCGGUGGCGAAGGCGGCAUACUGGACCACCACUGACGCUGAUGCGCGAAAGCCAGGGGAGCGAACGGG
This 253-nucleotide ribosomal RNA is filed under the name uncultured bacterium. RNAcentral's name for it is "partial 16S ribosomal RNA". It matches the Rfam family "Bacterial small subunit ribosomal RNA", at positions 524 to 776 of the family's 1533-position model. The record is from RNAcentral.